Helianthus annuus (common sunflower) is the source of this 402-nucleotide long non-coding RNA. RefSeq lists it as uncharacterized. The record is from RefSeq and is a predicted model, not a curated record. Lineage: Eukaryota; Viridiplantae; Streptophyta; Magnoliopsida; Asterales; Asteraceae. The transcript is spliced from 3 exons.
CUCGGGUAACUUUGGUGAGUUCUGGUUUCUAAGCUUCAACAAAACUUUAGAUCAUCUCGGGUUUCGGUUCAUGUUGUUUCAGUCUCAGGUUACAAAGAAACAAGAGGUUAGGCUUUGUUUCGGGUUUCGCGGUACAAUCGGGUCCUGAUCAACUCAGCUCAUGUUCAGGUCAAACCCGGUUGACUCGGUUAACCCCCGAGUCAACUCGGCUCAACACCGGAUCGACUCAGUCAACGUGGUCAAUGUUUCUACGCGAGAUUGGAAUGUCAUAGAAUGCUCGCUAGCUAAUUCACGUUCAUGGAAUGACAUUACGGAAUCACACUAAGCUAGCUUUGCACGGGAAUGUCAAGGUUGCAUUUUCAAAAACUAUGGAACGGUUGGAAUAGGAGAACCCAUGGGAAU